CUUUGAAACAGGUGCUAAUACCGUAUAACAAUCGAAACCGCAUGGUUUUGAUUUGAAAGGCGCUUUCGGGUGUCGCUGAUGGAUGGACCCGCGGUGCAUUAGCUAGUUGGUGAGGUAACGGCUCACCAAGGCCACGAUGCAUAGCCGACCUGAGAGGGUGAUCGGCCACAUUGGGACUGAGACACGGCCCGAACUCCUACGGGAGGCAGCAGUAGGGAAUCUUCGGCGAUGGACGAAAGUCUGACCGAGCAACGCCGCGUGAGUGAAGAAGGUUUUCGGAUCGUAAAACUCUGUUGUUAGAGAAGAACAAGGAUGAGAGUAACUGUUCAUCCCUUGACGGUAUCUAACCAGAAAGCCACGGCUAACUACGUGCCAGCAGCCGCGGUAAUACGUAGGUGGCAAGCGUUGUCCGGAUUUAUUGGGCGUAAAGCGAGCGCAGGCGGUUUCUUAAGUCUGAUGUGAAAGCCCCCGGCUCAACCGGGGAGGGUCAUUGGAAACUGGGAGACUUGAGUGCAGAAGAGGAGAGUGGAAUUCCAUGUGUAGCGGUGAAAUGCGUAGAUAUAUGGAGGAACACCAGUGGCGAAGGCGGCUCUCUGGUCUGUAACUGACGCUGAGGCUCGAAAGCGUGGGGAGCAAACAGGAUUAGAUACCCUGGUAGUCCACGCCGUAAACGAUGAGUGCUAAGUGUUGGAGGGUUUCCGCCCUUCAGUGCUGCAGCUAACGCAUUAAGCACUCCGCCUGGGGAGUACGACCGCAAGGUUGAAACUCAAAGGAAUUGACGGGGGCCCGCACAAGCGGUGGAGCAUGUGGUUUAAUUCGAAGCAACGCGAAGAACCUUACCAGGUCUUGACAUCCUUUGACCACUCUAGAGAUAGAGCUUCCCCUUCGGGGGCAAAGUGACAGGUGGUGCAUGGUUGUCGUCAGCUCGUGUCGUGAGAUGUUGGGUUAAGUCCCGCAACGAGCGCAACCCUUAUUGUUAGUUGCCAUCAUUCAGUUGGGCACUCUAGCAAGACUGCCGGUGACAAACCGGAGGAAGGUGGGGAUGACGUCAAAUCAUCAUGCCCCUUAUGACCUGGGCUACACACGUGCUACAAUGGGAAGUACAACGAGUUGCGAAGUCGCGAGGC
This 1127-nucleotide ribosomal RNA is filed under the name Enterococcus faecalis. Its description in RNAcentral is "bacterial SSU rRNA". It matches the Rfam family "Bacterial small subunit ribosomal RNA", at positions 149 to 1263 of the family's 1533-position model. Lineage: Bacteria; Bacillati; Bacillota; Bacilli; Lactobacillales; Enterococcaceae. The record is from RNAcentral.